Esox lucius (northern pike) is the source of this 824-nucleotide long non-coding RNA. The record is from Ensembl. Lineage: Eukaryota; Metazoa; Chordata; Actinopteri; Esociformes; Esocidae.
ACUCCCCUAUGGUAGGACUGUUACUGCACUGGACCAUGAAUCAUCAGAUAAGGAGCAUGCCUCUAUGGGGAAUAGGGGCGGAGAGAUGAACAACCUUGCUGUCCAUCCCUGCGACUGCGUGUUUUUGAAGUAAUAAGAAGAAAAGCAAAACAGUUUGUGUCCACAGACAUGGCACCAAAACUCCAGUGUUUCACUGUGGGGCCGACCGGAUAUGCCGCACUGUAGACCAGCAUUUCACUGUGGGGCUGACCGGAUAUGCUGCACUGUAGACCAACGUCACCCUAACUAGCAAAUACAUGUUGCAAAUGCAUUUUGGAUCGUCUAAUUUGAAAAUGGGAUCACAAGAGAAGUUUUGUAUAAAACCAACUGUGCUUAGUCCACAGAACUGGGGUAAUGUGAAUAAUCUCAGAUAAAUAAACAAGGCAGAUUCUGUUUGCUGCUUACUGACAGAAACAUUGAUUUGUCUUCUGGUUCCCUUGGAAACCUAGAGUGGACAUAAUCAGUCAAAAAAUCGGAUUGGGGUAGAGUAUCAAUGAUGAUGUUCUUUUAUUACACAAAAGCUAACACAAUGAAUUGCCUGACCUGUUCUUGAUGUUUUCUUGACCUUCAAAAUACAUGCACAUGUUAAUUUAGCAGACACAUAUCCAGACCAACUUAGUACUGAGGGCGUACAUCUCAAAGGAUUUAAUUGUGGCCAGUUGAAGUAAUCGAACCUACAACACAUGAUUUACCAGUUUAGCAACCAAAAAUCUAUCCAGUGCAUUUCAAACCAUACAUCAUUUAAAUGUAAAAUUAUUGCAGGUCUGUAAUAAACUUUAACCGAC